UGGCUAGACGAGGGCUUAACUGUCUCCUCCCCCCAGUCAAUGAAAUUGAUCUCCCCGUGCAGAAGCGGGGAUCCACCCAUAAGACGAGAAGACCCUAUGGAGCUUUAGACACUAGGCAGCCCACGUUACACCCCCUCUCCUAAGAGGAGAAAACAUUGUGGCCCCUGUCUCCCCUGUCUUCGGUUGGGGCGACCGCGGAGGAUAAAAGAGCCUCCAUGUGGACCAAGGUUACGAACCUCACAACUAAGGGCCGCCGCCCUAAGCAACAGAAAUUCUGACCAAAAUGAUCCGGCACAAUGCCGAUUAACGGAACAAGUUACCCUAGGGAUAACAGCGCAAUCCUCUCCCAGAGUCCCUAUCGACGAGGGGGUUUACGACCUCGAUGUUGGAUCAGGACAUCCUAUUGGUGCAGCC
This 414-nucleotide ribosomal RNA is filed under the name Protosalanx chinensis. RNAcentral describes it as "partial 16S ribosomal RNA". It matches the Rfam family "Bacterial large subunit ribosomal RNA", at positions 1997 to 2560 of the family's 2925-position model. Lineage: Eukaryota; Metazoa; Chordata; Actinopteri; Osmeriformes; Salangidae. The record is from RNAcentral.